AUGGCCUCUCUCAGUGAUCAGCUGGAGGAGCUGAGGGUGAAUGUGGAAGUCAGCUUGUCUACUCCAGGUUCUGCCCAGGAGAUGAGGGCAGGGGUGACAGCCAUGGCCAACAUCCCCCUCCCACCCUCCAGCAAAUACCGCUACAUCGCUGCUGAAAGCAUGUUGACGGAGAACAGUAAUGGAAAUAAUAAGAAGGAGUCCCUCAGCCUCCUGCAGAAGCUUUCCACCGCUCUUAACAUCUUGGAGAAGUAUGGCUCCAAUCUUACCAACCCCAACAGGCCGAAGUACUGGCGUACAGUAAAGUACAACAAUCCUGUCUUCAGGACAACUGUAGAUUCUAUUCAGGGUGGCAGAGCAGUACUCAACCUUUAUGGCUACACCGAUCAGCAGCAAGAUGGCUUGAGCUUUCCUGAUGAUGUUGUCCAGCCAGAUGUUGGGAAGGUGGCAUCAGUGACUCUUGAGGUCAUGUGUCUCCGUAUGGAGCUGGACAUGCUAAUCAAGGGUACCCAUCCUUAUCCAGAGUUUUUUGAAAGACUUAUUCCCUCCCUCAGAGUGCUGGAUGAGGGAAUCAGCACAGAUGCAGUUACCUUCUCUCCUAGUGAAAGUCCAUGGGAAAAACAAACUCCCUCGCCUGCAUUGACUCCUCUUGAGCCUAAAUCUCCAUUCAGUCCAGCCCACUCUCUCUCUUCUCAAGUGCCCUCUAAUCAAACAGAGAUCUGCACCAUAUGUGGUAUAUUUCCGGUGUCUGCUCACUGUCCCACCUGUACUCAGCGGCUGUGCUUAGAAUGUGACAGGCUUUAUCACUCCCAUUCAGGGCGUUCCACGCACAUUAGGAUUCCUGUGACUUCCUCAAAAGCCACAAAACGGCUCAGCUCAUCGCUGUCAACAUGGCAGUGUUCAUACUGCACUACAGUAAAUACGGUUCAACAGGUUUUGUGUGAAACCUGUGAUCGACCCCGCUUGUCCUCUGCUGCGCCAUCUCUACAGGAAGAGCCAUCUCAGCCCUCUACAAUAUCUGAAUGGCAAUGUAAAAGCUGCACUGUGGUGAAUGCAGGCAGCAGCAUUCUGUGCGAGGUGUGUGAGCGCCCUCGUCUUGCCACCAGACCCCCUGUCACACCCUCACGUCCGACCCCCUCCUCUGCAGGACUCAUGGACAGCCAGUGGGUUUGCCAGUUUUGUACGUAUGUCAACCACACACUAUCACCUGUAUGCGAAAUGUGUUGUCUGUCGAGGUCAGAGCCUGCUCUGUCACUCCCUAAGCCCCUCCCACUCUCACCAGUCAAGGACAUCACACCGCUUCCAGCGCCACCUAAAGUCAUUCCCACUGAGGACCCUGAUUUCAAAAGGCAAAGACUGAUGAGGGAGGAAGGGCUUAAACUUAUUCAGAUCAUUCGUGAGGGAGAGAAGAAAGGAGUGAGCCCAGAGGAGGUUUACACCAGCAUGUGUGUGUCAGGAAACAGUAAUGUAACACCGUAUGAUUGGCUGAAAGCCGAGCUACCUCAUGUGCUUGAUGAGAUCUGUGUGAUGGCGGCAUCCUGUCAGCAAGAACCCAACACACAAUCAAACUGUUUAGGGGGGGACAAUGGCCAGGAUGGACAAAAGAGCAAUGCAGUGCCCCUGUCCAGAGCAGAAGCUAAACGGGCCUGGCUGGCAGCAGGGGGCGACAAUGAGAAGGCUGUCAGACAGGCUCUCAGAGCCCGAAGAGUUAAAGUAAAAGAGCUUGGCUCUCUGGGCUUUAAUGAUGUGACCCGCUGUGAAGAAGCCCUGCGGCAGAGUGGAGGGGAUGUGAGGGGGGCUCUUGCUCUGCUGCAGCGCCCUUUACUGGAGCCAUUUCAUCAGCGCAUGUGGAGUGACGAACCAGAGCCCCCCAUUGACAUCAACCAUCCUGAUAAACAGCAUGUUUGCCGUAGGCUGCUAGCAAUGUUUGACCUGCCCAGCUGGGGGCGCUGUGAGCUGGUUCUGUCUUUGCUGCGGGACCCCACAGCCACAUACACACUGGAGGAUGUGGUUCAGGCAGUGCGUGAAUCACCUGACCGGGACUUCAUUCGCCGUGUGCUGAAUAAGGAAUGCCCCAUCUGUCUGUCAGUUUUUCCCCACAGCAAGAUGCGGUCUCUGACAUCGUGCCAGUGUUCCGUGUGCUGUGGAUGUUUCAAGCAGCAUUUCACCAUAGCGGUGAGGGACAAGCACAUCAGAGACAUGGUGUGUCCUGUCUGCACAGAGCCUGACAUCAACAACCCUGAGCACCUGAAUAGCUACUUCUCCACUCUGGACAUACAGCUCAGGGAUUGUCUUGAGCCGGAUGUGUACGAUCUUUUCCACAAGAAGCUGACUGAGCAGGCUCUCAUCAAGGACCCAAAGUUCCUGUGGUGCAGCCAUUGCUCAUAUGGCUUCAUCUAUGACGGCGAUCAACUCAAGGUCACCUGUAUGCAGUGCAGGAAAAGCUUCUGUGCGCAGUGCAAAAAACCGUGGGAGCCGCAGCACAUGGGGCUCUCGUGCGAGCAGUUCCAGCUGUGGAAGCGAGAGAAUGACCCCGAGUACCAGAGGCAGGGCUUGGCAGGAUACCUGCGUGACAAUGGGAUCACUUGCCCUAACUGCAGGUUCCAGUAUGCCCUGGCCAGGGGUGGAUGUAUGCACUUCAGUUGUUCCCAGUGCAGGUAUCAGUUCUGCAGUGGAUGCAACAACCCCUUCCACACAACGUGUGCAGUGAACCAGUGUACUGUGACAGGUCUGCAUGCCCAUCACCCCAGAGACUGCCUCUUCUACCUCCGAGACUGGGAGCCUGCCAGGCUUCAGGCCUUACUGCAGAAAAAGGGGGUGAACUACAAUACUGACACUGCACCAGGAGCACAGACUGGUGUGUGUGGAGUGAUCGAGCAGAAAGAUGAAGGGCCUCGUCCGACUGAUUCGCCGUGUGGGGCUCAAACUCAGCCAGCCCAGGCAGGACUCUGCGAGAAGCAUUAUCGAGAGUAUCUGGUCAGCCUCAUUAAUGGGCAUUCUAUUGACCCCGCCCACCUUUACACUCUUGAUGAGCUGACUGUGGCCUGCAGGAGAUACCACGUGGAUGUCAGACAGGGGGACGGAGAAGACGAGAGAGCAUACUUUGCCAGACUGCUUAAGAAACUCAUGGAUGACGUGCCUCUGGGUGACAAGGUCCUUCGCAAGAAAUGAAAACAUUUUUUUACCAUGAACAUUUAACCUCUGGACUAUUUUAAAUAUAGCUUCUUUAUGCUAUGAGCUACAAGGCCGAAGGAAUGUUAAACACAGUGCUUCCCUGCUCUCAGUGUGAUGUAGUUUCACACAUUUGCACAGUGAACACACUGAAAGCACGGACAUAAUAAGGAAUGCAUGAUGGGAAAUGGUGAUAGAAGAAACCCCAUGAGGAGCAGAGGACAGACAUGUUCUGAGGUAAUUGUCUGUGUGAGGGCACAGCAGUGAAAGAGAUCCUAUUGCUUACAAAGAAGCCUUUAUGUUUAAAUUUGUAAUCACUUUUACAAUAAGGUCCAAUUAGCUAUGCCUAAUGUUAGUUUGUGUUAACGGGCAUGGUUAACAAAUGGAACCUUAUUGUAAAGUGUAUUUUCCUUCUUUUUAGCAAAUUAGCUUGGGAACCAAAGCAGGGUUAAAGGUUAAAAUGCACCAAUAGAUGUAAUCAGUUACAAUGCAAAUAGUUUUACAUCAUGCUGUCUGUGACUGAGGCAAUAGUUCAGUCAUUUUACCCUGAAUAAGCACACUUUUAGUGACUUUCUCCAUGACUACCACAGUUGUGGCAAGCUGUGAUGUGACGUCUAACUUGUUUUGACAGAUGGCCUGUCUGGUGUGGGGACCUGUGUCUUGGGGGCUUUGGGGAUAGAUGAGGUUCUGGUCUGUAGCAGAGGAGGGAGAAGAAAGAAAAAGACAGAUAUCCUGCCUAGCCCAGCUGGGUCUGUGAUUCUGCUUAAAAGUUUCCACAUCUUUGACACCCCGAGCCACCACUCGAAAUGGAGCUAUUGUAUUGUUUAGUCACAAGAUAUCUUUAUAAUGAGCUUAUGUCUGUGCAAUUUCAUUUUCUAAUUGAUUUGCAUAUUUCAAUGUUUACAUUCUUAAUGCUCGAUUCAUUGGUGCAUGUUGUUUCAAAAAUGCUUCAACUCUAUUGGAUAAAAUAAAGCUCUGUCCAAUACUCAGUAUCUAGUUUUAUUU
Molecule: RNA transcript, 4173 nt
Organism: Carassius auratus (goldfish)
Lineage: Eukaryota; Metazoa; Chordata; Actinopteri; Cypriniformes; Cyprinidae
Gene name: E3 ubiquitin-protein ligase RNF31-like
Exons: 23
Source: RefSeq, a predicted model, not a curated record